AGCAAUGCAUGGAGCUGACUGUUACUAAUCGGGUGAGGGCUUGACCA
This 47-nucleotide ribosomal RNA is filed under the name Ruminococcus sp. TF06-23. Its description in RNAcentral is "partial 23S ribosomal RNA". The record is from RNAcentral. Lineage: Bacteria; Bacillati; Bacillota; Clostridia; Eubacteriales; Oscillospiraceae.